RNAcentral lists this ribosomal RNA (256 nucleotides) under uncultured bacterium. RNAcentral describes it as "partial small subunit ribosomal RNA". It matches the Rfam family "Bacterial small subunit ribosomal RNA", at positions 26 to 286 of the family's 1533-position model. The record is from RNAcentral.
AGGACGAACGCUGGCGGCGUGCUUAACACAUGCAAGUCGAGCGGAAAGGCCCUUCGGGGUACUCGAGCGGCGUAACGGGUGAGUAACACGUGAGCAACCUGCCCCUGGCUCUGGGAUAGCCUCCGGAAACGGGGAUUAAUACCGGAUAUUCACUGCUCCCUGCAUGGGGGGUGGUGGAAAGUUUUUCGGCUAGGGUGGGCUCGCGGCCUAUCAGCUUGUUGGGGGGGUGACGGCCCACCAAGGCGACGACGGGUAG